Non-coding RNA from Callithrix jacchus (white-tufted-ear marmoset), 3150 nucleotides. The record is from RefSeq and is a predicted model, not a curated record. NCBI's taxonomy places the organism in Eukaryota, Metazoa, Chordata, Mammalia, Primates, Cebidae.
AUUACAGGCACGCGCCACCAUGCCUAGCUAUUUUUUUUUUUUUUUAUAUUUUUAGUAGAGACAGGGUUUCACCAUGUUGACCAGGAUGGUCUCGAUCUCUUGACCUCGUGAUCCACCCGCCUCGGCCUCCCAAAGUGCUGGGAUUACAGUCUUGAGCCACCACACCCAGCCUCAAGUGUUUUUAAAAGCUUACAUGUCUGCAUCUGGGGGAUGAUGACCUCAUAAAGGGCUUUCUUACAGCUGUGCCAGUCCCACAGAUACACUUCAGGUUUCAAAGCAUCAUGAACAACUCCCUGCUGACCCAUAAAAUGUGGGAAUCGCUGAUGCUACCCACAAAAGUGCUCCUUCGGCAUCACUUCUGCAAAGGUCUGAGACAGAGGUUUGCAAUCUUUUAGUAGCAGUGAGUCUACUGGUUUGGCUUAAGGUGGAGAGAAACGUUUACAUUCGUGUAUCCACGUCAAAAAUAGUUCCUGAGCACCCACUACACACCAGGCAUUGUGCCUGGCUCCAGGGGUAUAGUCAUGACACACCCAGGCAGUCCUGGACUUACAUGUUGUGUGUCUGUGUAUGCACAGAACUUCUGCCAACUGCCUUCCCACUGGUGCAACCAACAGUGAUUCUUACGGGUGGCAGAGGAAGGGAUGGCAAAUAGCAAAAGAAAGUCAGUCUGCACACCUGCCUUCCACUGGAGCUUGCAGUAGGAUUAGCUUGAGCUAAUUCAAUACCCCAUCUGGAAAGCACUUUUAAUUUUGCAUACUCAGGCAAAAUGACAGUUUGCUUCAACACUUUCUUCAAUUUCCUUUAUAUUUUCUUGUCUUCUUGGUCAGGCUGGUCUCGAACUCUUGACCUCAGGUGAUCUGCCUGCCUUGGCUUCCCAAAGUACUGGGAUUACAGGUGUGAGCCACUGUGCUCAGCCACUGUAAUCAGCCAGUGAUUUUUUACUUUUUGCUAGGCAAAAAGAUCAUUUUGUUGUUUUAACUUGUUUAAUUAUGAGUAAAUCUGGCAAUGUAUUAUGAAAACAAUAACAAGAGGAGCUUGAUAUAAAAUGUGCAAAUUCAGAUGUCCUUGAAGAUCAUUUUAGAGCCAGUAUGAAGUGGGGCGAUGCUGGUAGUGGGGGCUGGCUGUGGAGAAAACAAGCCAAAGGCAGACUUAUGAGAUCCUGAAGCUUUUGACUGGGGUUCACUCGGAGCCCAGACUCAGGCUGGUUCUGACAGGGACACCUGCCAGGCCUCGGCUUAGGGCCACAAGGUGGGAGACAGGAACUGGGGGUGAGGUCCCAGAGCCUAAGAGGCAACAACAGAGAGGUCUCUGCAGAAUCCCAUCUGAGCCCCAGACUCACUGUCCCAGGACAGGCUAAGCCAGAGUCUGUCCAGGAACUACUUUUGCAUAAGGAGCUGGAAGUGGUCUACCCAGUAAGUGGGGGCCUGGAUUCACGCAAACCAUUGCACCAUGGACGGCCAGAGAAACUCACAGAACCUUCCUGUGCUGGCUAACAUACUCUCUCACUUCCUCUGCAGCCUCUGCCAAGCCAAGCAGCCAGCUCCUAGGGCUCCCCUCCCUCCACCUGAGGCUCCUCGUCCUCCCUUCCUCUGGAGCCUCCAGCCUCCCGGGGCUUGCCCUCCUCGCUGCCAGCUCCAGCAGGGGCUGCCAAAGGUGUGGGAGAGAGAAGUGGGCUUCCUGGGGCCACCUCCCACUUUGGGGUGUUUGGAGGGUGACGGAGUGACCGCCAGGGGGCAGUGUGGACAGGUCUCCAUAGGACUGGUAAGGAAGACACCUUUGUAGCCACCUCAACAGACGGGAGCCCUCCACACGCCUUCUCCACUGCCCAGAGAUGCGGGUUCACCAUAUUAGCCAGGCUGGUCUCAAACUCCUGACCUCAAGUGAUCCACUGCCUCAUCCUCCCAAAGUGGUGGGAUUACAGGCGUGAGCCAACAUGCCCGGCCUCCCAGUGACUGGCUUUCUGUGUGCUCCUGGUUUGUUGAGGCAAACCCCCAUUUCUGGCUUCCCCUGAGACCUCCCCUCCCCGAAACAACAGACUCACCAUGGGCCCAUCCAGGUCUCUUCGGGAGCUUCACGGAAUUGCUUCUGCCUGGCCCCAGCUCAGAGGUUCUGACAGAAUUGGCCUGGGGUGAGGCCUGGCAUCCAUGGGAUUUUCACAAGCUUCCAGAACUCAGGUUCUUUUGGAGGAAGCCAUGUCAAGUCCUGCUCCAGGCUUAAGCCAGUCGCACAUUCCCUGCCCUGCCCCAUUGCCAGGUUCGGGAGCGUGCUCGUGAUCCAAGCGUCCCACCCCCAGAUACAUCUCAAGAUUCUUGCUUGUACUUAUGGACACUCAGGCUCCUCCAAGAAGGAAUCGAACUUGCUUCUCUUUAUGUCCUUUCCUCUGGGAGAUGUGUUCUCAUCAACAUGUUCAGACGCGGCCCAUCCAGCAGGGGACAGCCUGGGCUCAAGCUGGGAUGCCUAUUUAAUUUAUUUUCUGCUAAUUAAACUUCCUAAUAUACUCCACUCUGAGCGUGUUUGCAGGCAGGGGUGUGGGAUAAGCGGCCCUGCCUGGCUGGGAGACGAGGCAGCUCCCUGCUGCACUGUGUAUUAAUAAAGAGACAUGCAUGGCAGUGCCUGUUUGGGCCAAGGUGGCAGCUUAGGACAGAAGGCACGUGGCAAUCAGGGUUUCAAACAACCCAGGAAGAACACUGCUUCAGGGAAGACAGCUCAGCAUCUCCCUGGCAAAGAAUAAUGACAUUGGUAAUACUCUCCAAAGAAUUUCAGGAUUUUGAGCAAACAGAAAAGCAACACAGAAAUUCAUAUCAUCAAAACAAUAUGGCUUUAUUGGACCCUUAAGACUUUUAUUGGAGGCUCAAGAGCAUAAUCCUGCUGGUUGGUUUCACUUCGUCGAUUUUCCGUUGUGUCUAAUUACAUUGCUCAUGCUGAUGGCAGAUGACCAUCAGCUCUUUUCCUGCCUGUCCUGAGGUUCAUCCACCAAUGUUUCAGUUCUGCUGUAAGAUAUUGUCCUGAACCCCCAACAUCUCGUGCGUGCUGUUUUUUUUUUAAGAGUUCAUAGCGGGUGGAAGACUCUCCUCUGUAACACACUUAUGUUCCCUCCCAACCAGGCCUGGGAGGAGGAGGAGUCUAGCUUGUGGGGGCUGUUCAUAUGCU